GUUUCCAUUUGAGUAUCCUGAAAACGGGCUUUUCGGUAUGGAACGCAUAAUCUAAAUAGUAGGAGUGCAUAGUGGCCCGUAUAGCAGGCAUUAACAUUCCUGAU
This 104-nucleotide small RNA is filed under the name uncultured Buttiauxella sp. RNAcentral describes it as "Alpha operon ribosome binding site". It matches the Rfam family "Alpha operon ribosome binding site". Rfam says of the family: The bacterial alpha operon ribosome binding site is surrounded by this complex pseudoknotted structure. Translation of the mRNA produces 4 ribosomal protein products, one of which (S4) acts as a translational repressor by binding to the nested pseudoknot region. Lineage: Bacteria; Pseudomonadati; Pseudomonadota; Gammaproteobacteria; Enterobacterales; Enterobacteriaceae. The record is from RNAcentral.